UCCGUAAGGGUGACUGCGGAAGGAUCAUUACCUAGAGUUUGUAGACUUCGGUCUGCUACCUCUUACCCAUGUCUUUUGAGUACCUUCGUUUCCUCGGCGGGUCCGCCCGCCGAUUGGACAACAUUCAAACCCUUUGCAGUUGCAAUCAGCGUCUGAAAAAACAUAAUAGUUACAACUUUCAACAACGGAUCUCUUGGUUCUGGCAUCGAUGAAGAACGCAGCGAAAUGCGAUAAGUAGUGUGAAUUGCAGAAUUCAGUGAAUCAUCGAAUCUUUGAACGCACAUUGCGCCCCUUGGUAUUCCAUGGGGCAUGCCUGUUCGAGCGUCAUUUGUACCUUCAAGCUCUGCUUGGUGUUGGGUGUUUGUCUCGCCUCUGCGUGUAGACUCGCCUUAAAACAAUUGGCAGCCGGCGUAUUGAUUUCGGAGCGCAGUACAUCUCGCGCUUUGCACUCAUAACGACGACGUCCAAAAGUACAUUUUUACACUCUUGACCUCGGAUCAGGUAGGGAUACCCGCUGAACUUAAGCAUAUCAAUAAGCCGGAGGA
Molecule: ribosomal RNA, 545 nt
Filed under: Epicoccum sp. 1-00367-1
Lineage: Eukaryota; Fungi; Ascomycota; Dothideomycetes; Pleosporales; Didymellaceae
Description: eukaryotic LSU rRNA
Rfam family: 5.8S ribosomal RNA (bases 174-327)
Source: RNAcentral